UUUAUGGAGAGUUUGAUCCUGGCUCAGAGUGAACGCUGGCGGCGUGCCUAAUACAUGCAAGUCGAACGAUGAAGCUUCUAGCUUGCUAGAAGUGGAUUAGUGGCGCACGGGUGAGUAACGCAUAGGUUAUGUGCCUCUUAGUUUGGGAUAGCCAUUGGAAACGAUGAUUAAUACCAGAUACUCCCUACGGGGGAAAGAUUUAUCGCUAAGAGAUCAGCCUAUGUCCUAUCAGCUUGUUGGUAAGGUAAUGGCUUACCAAGGCUAUGACGGGUAUCCGGCCUGAGAGGGUGAACGGACACACUGGAACUGAGACACGGUCCAGACUCCUACGGGAGGCAGCAGUAGGGAAUAUUGCUCAAUGGGGGAAACCCUGAAGCAGCAACGCCGCGUGGAGGAUGAAGGUUUUAGGAUUGUAAACUCCUUUUGUUAGAGAAGAUAAUGACGGUAUCUAACGAAUAAGCACCGGCUAACUCCGUGCCAGCAGCCGCGGUAAUACGGAGGGUGCAAGCGUUACUCGGAAUCACUGGGCGUAAAGAGCGCGUAGGCGGGAUAGUCAGUCAGGUGUGAAAUCCUAUGGCUUAACCAUAGAACUGCAUUUGAAACUACUAUUCUAGAGUGUGGGAGAGGUAGGUGGAAUUCUUGGUGUAGGGGUAAAAUCCGUAGAGAUCAAGAGGAAUACUCAUUGCGAAGGCGACCUGCUGGAACAUUACUGACGCUGAUUGCGCGAAAGCGUGGGGAGCAAACAGGAUUAGAUACCCUGGUAGUCCACGCCCUAAACGAUGGAUGCUAGUUGUUGGAGGGCUUAGUCUCUCCAGUAAUGCAGCUAACGCAUUAAGCAUCCCGCCUGGGGAGUACGGUCGCAAGAUUAAAACUCAAAGGAAUAGACGGGGACCCGCACAAGCGGUGGAGCAUGUGGUUUAAUUCGAAGAUACACGAAGAACCUUACCUAGGCUUGACAUUGAGAGAAUCCGCUAGAAAUAGUGGAGUGUCUGGCUUGCUAGACCUUGAAAACAGGUGCUGCACGGCUGUCGUCAGCUCGUGUCGUGAGAUGUUGGGUUAAGUCCCGCAACGAGCGCAACCCCCUUUCUUAGUUGCUAACAGGUCAUGCUGAGAACUCUAAGGAUACUGCCUCCGUAAGGAGGAGGAAGGUGGGGACGACGUCAAGUCAUCAUGGCCCUUACGCCUAGGGCUACACACGUGCUACAAUGGGGUGCACAAAGAGAAGCAAUACUGCGAAGUGGAGCCAAUCUUCAAAACGCCUCUCAGUUCGGAUUGUAGGCUGCAACUCGCCUGCAUGAAGCUGGAAUCGCUAGUAAUCGCAAAUCAGCCAUGUUGCGGUGAAUACGUUCCCGGGUCUUGUACUCACCGCCCGUCACACCAUGGGAGUUGUGUUUGCCUUAAGUCAGGAUGCUAAAUUGGCUACUGCCCACGGCACACACAGCGACUGGGGUGAAGUCGUAACAAGGUAACCGUAGGUGAACCUGCGGUUGGAUCACCUCCUUUCUAGA
This 1508-nucleotide ribosomal RNA is filed under the name Helicobacter pylori. Its description in RNAcentral is "bacterial SSU rRNA". It matches the Rfam family "Bacterial small subunit ribosomal RNA". Lineage: Bacteria; Pseudomonadati; Campylobacterota; Epsilonproteobacteria; Campylobacterales; Helicobacteraceae. The record is from RNAcentral.